Molecule: ribosomal RNA, 659 nt
Filed under: Lactobacillus sp. IJ-K2
Lineage: Bacteria; Bacillati; Bacillota; Bacilli; Lactobacillales; Lactobacillaceae
Description: bacterial SSU rRNA
Rfam family: Bacterial small subunit ribosomal RNA
Source: RNAcentral
AAGCGAGUGGCGAACUGGUGAGUAACACGUGGGAAAUCUGCCCAGAAGCAGGGGAUAACACUUGGAAACAGGUGCUAAUACCGUAUAACAACAAAAUCCGCAUGGAUUUUGUUUGAAAGGUGGCUUCGGCUAUCACUUCUGGAUGAUCCCGCGGCGUAUUAGUUAGUUGGUGAGGUAAAGGCCCACCAAGACGAUGAUACGUAGCCGACCUGAGAGGGUAAUCGGCCACAUUGGGACUGAGACACGGCCCAAACUCCUACGGGAGGCAGCAGUAGGGAAUCUUCCACAAUGGACGAAAGUCUGAUGGAGCAAUGCCGCGUGAGUGAAGAAGGGUUUCGGCUCGUAAAACUCUGUUGUUAAAGAAGAACACCUUUGAGAGUAACUGUUCAAGGGUUGACGGUAUUUAACCAGAAAGCCACGGCUAACUACGUGCCAGCAGCCGCGGUAAUACGUAGGUGGCAAGCGUUGUCCGGAUUUAUUGGGCGUAAAGCGAGCGCAGGCGGUUUUUUAAGUCUGAUGUGAAAGCCUUCGGCUUAACCGGAGAAGUGCAUCGGAAACUGGGAGACUUGAGUGCAGAAGAGGACAGUGGAACUCCAUGUGUAGCGGUGGAAUGCGUAGAUAUAUGGAAGAACACCAGUGGCGAAGGCGGCUGUCUAGUC